Molecule: long non-coding RNA, 1270 nt
Organism: Prunus dulcis (almond)
Lineage: Eukaryota; Viridiplantae; Streptophyta; Magnoliopsida; Rosales; Rosaceae
Exons: 3
Source: RefSeq, a predicted model, not a curated record
CAUUAAUAUCCUGGAGCUGUGUCGUGGUGGGUUGUUUUUUUUGCGAAUUUUGGUGAAGCAACACAGUUUAGGGCCUGUGACACCUCUGGGUUACUAGACGAUGGAACGGCGCCGUUUUGCUUAGGGGACAAAAUGUUUGGUUUGGUUUGGUUUCACUAGAGCUGGGCAUUUCAUCGGAAACUCCAGCGUAGCUCUCUCCAUCUCCACAGCAGCUCCUUCCCAUCCGUCUUCUCUCCAUUCAGAUUCUGAACAACCGUACGGAAAACCAAAAAUCGCCAAAUUCCAAAACCAAGAAAGUGCUGCCUAAUCCUCAUCCUCCUACUCCAUCUCGUUGAUUUUCUCCAGUUAUAGUUGCAGUCAAGGUUCGUUCUUCAUUACUUGCUGAAGGAGAUCCAAGUUUUUAGAUUGUCAAAAUAGUCAGCCAAAAAGAAAGAGCACCAAAAGUAAUGGCGACCAAGAUAUGCGUAGUGAUUCGAUCUUUUCAUCACCCAAACCUUUUGUGGGGGCUUCCACCUUCCACACGGAGGAUUGCAUUGCCUGAAUCACGAGUCUUAUAUACUGUGUUGCGAUCACCUCAUAUUGAUAAAAAGUCCAGAGAGCAGUUUGAAAUGGAAAUCAAGAAACAAUAUCUGGUCAUAAAGACACAACCGCAUGAAUUGCAGAAGAAGUUUUUUUGGCUAAAGCGCCAACGUAUAUUUGGAGCUCAAUAUGAACUCCUAUUUUCUUGCAAGACUCGAUUGGAUAAGGAACAACUGCUUUAAUUGCUUUGAAGCAAGAUCCUUGCAUUGACCCUUCCCUGAACCAGAACCAGCAUGGCGGCGCCGCUGGACGGUUCUGAUAAACACAGGAAGGGAGGGGAAAGAGAGCACGUCAAAUGAUGCCCUAGUUUGUAUUGUGGCUGGUGUUUUUCAAGUUUAGUUUAAAAUCCGUUUUGAUCAGAUAGGAAGAUGCAGAACUGUUUUUGGUUAUUGUGGGAUUCUGCGUCCAAGUUAGAGAAUGAUAUGAGGUUGCUAUAAUAAUCCAACACUUGACAUUUUCAACUUGGAGUUGGAUAUCUCACUGAACAAUUGCAUUAUCGAUCUCAAAUGUUAGAAGGCACGGGCAAAGAAAUACUUGCAUUAGAGGGCUGGAACUUCCUGUGCUGCAACUUCUUUUGUUUUUCGUUUUUGUUUUUCUUUGCUUUAUUAUCUUUACCGUGUGCCAGAUUGGUCACCUAUUCCAUAUCCUUGCUUAUAUAUAUUUUUUUGUUUGGUGACACCAAAAUUCACCA